RNAcentral lists this ribosomal RNA (411 nucleotides) under uncultured bacterium. Its description in RNAcentral is "bacterial SSU rRNA". It matches the Rfam family "Bacterial small subunit ribosomal RNA", at positions 30 to 477 of the family's 1533-position model. The record is from RNAcentral.
AUUGAACGCUGGCGGUAUGCUUAAGACAUGCAAGUCGAACGGUAACAGGUUAAGCUGACGAGUGGCGGACGAGUGAGUAACGCGUGGGAAUCUACCUUGUAGUGGGGGAUAAGCCAGGGAAACUUGGACUAAUACCGCAUACGCCCUAAGGGGGAAAGGCGCAAGUCGCUAUAAGAUGAGCCCGCGUCUGAUUAGGUAGUUGGUGGGGUAAAGGCCUACCAAGCCGACGAUCAGUAGCUGGUCUGAGAGGAUGAUCAGCCACGUCGGGACUGAGACACGGCCCGGACUCCUACGGGAGGCAGCAGUCGGGAAUAUUGGACAAUGGGGGAAACCCUGAUCCAGCAAUACCGCGUGUGUGAAGAAGGCCUGCGGGUUGUAAAGCACUUUCAGUUGGGAAGGAUAAUGACGUUA